GAUGAACGCUGGCGGCGUGCCUAAUACAUGCAAGUCGAGCGAACAGACGAGGAGCUUGCUCCUUCGACGUUAGCGGCGGACGGGUGAGUAACACGUAGGUAACCUACCUAUAAGACUGGGAUAACUUCGGGAAACCGGAGCUAAUACCGGAUAAUAUUUCGAACCGCAUGGUUCGAUAGUGAAAGAUGGCUUUGCUAUCACUUAUAGAUGGACCUGCGCCGUAUUAGCUAGUUGGUAAGGUAACGGCUUACCAAGGCAACGAUACGUAGCCGACCUGAGAGGGUGAUCGGCCACACUGGAACUGAGACACGGUCCAGACUCCCACGGGAGGCAGCAGUAGGGAAUCUUCCGCAAUGGGCGAAAGCCUGACGGAGCAACGCCGCGUGAGUGAUGAAGGUCUUCGGAUCGUAAAACUCUGUUAUUAGGGAAGAACAAACGUGUAAGUAACUGUGCACGUCUUGACGGUACCUAAUCAGAAAGCCACGGCUAACUACGUG
This 497-nucleotide ribosomal RNA is filed under the name uncultured bacterium. RNAcentral's name for it is "partial 16S ribosomal RNA". It matches the Rfam family "Bacterial small subunit ribosomal RNA", at positions 28 to 507 of the family's 1533-position model. The record is from RNAcentral.